CAGGAACCGCCGCCUAAUCGCAACAACGAGCGAGCCGGGGAACCACAUUUCUUCCGGGGUGAAUCCGCAUCCGCGGUAGGGAUUUCCUUCGUCCCGAACCCGUCAGCUAACCCGGCCGGCGGCCGACGGAAGGAAAU
This 137-nucleotide small RNA is filed under the name Actinoplanes regularis. RNAcentral's name for it is "c-di-AMP sequence". It matches the Rfam family "c-di-AMP riboswitch aptamer (ydaO/yuaA leader)". Rfam says of the family: This family represents a conserved RNA structure found upstream of the ydaO and yuaA genes in Bacillus subtilis and related genes in other bacteria. The ydaO/yuaA element is thought to act as a genetic "off" switch for the ydaO and yuaA genes in its native state. The record is from Rfam by way of RNAcentral. Lineage: Bacteria; Bacillati; Actinomycetota; Actinomycetes; Micromonosporales; Micromonosporaceae.